CAUUAACCGGGAGAGCGCUCGCGAGCCAGAGCGAGAGGCCCCAGCGUACACGAUAAACAACCCGGUAACAGUCGCUGUUCUUUUUGCGCUUGAUCAUGACUUUUUUGGUAGAAAGUACGAUAAAUGGCAAGCGCAAAGGCGACUGCUGUCUGACUGUUCAUUACACGCCGUGCUGUUGUUGCAAGCGUGAAGUGCACGAAGUUGGUGUAGCUUAGCUUAGCUUAGCCUAGCCUCGACAAGGGACGGCGCGCGGGAGCUUGCUGAUUGGCUCUUCGGAGGUCCACUUUCUCCGCGGGCCACACUAAUAUUAUACCUUCAUAUUAAGAUGCGGGCCACAAAAUAUUGUACUGCGGCGAUGGCAGCAUGUUUUGGAGCAUUAACUUGCACUUUGAGGUAUUUUAAGUGAUAGUAUGACUAGAUAUGGGUUUUUUUUGGAGUUCUUAGCACAAAUUAUUCACACUACAGUCUUACUAUUGCGAAAAACUGCAACAAAAUAAAAAGGACACGCAUGAAGAGCUGUACAAGUGAUUCACAAGUCAGGUCAUCAGAAACCUCCAUGUGGUUUUCACCAUCUGAGGACCUGAAGGACAGAGCUGCCACCUCUCCUGCCCUCUUCAACAGGUGUGUGCUGAACUGGUUUGGAGACUGGUCCACAGAAGCUCUUUACCAGGUCAGUAAGGAGUUCACCAGCAAGAUGGACUGGAGAAACCCAAGUACAAGGUGCCAGACUACAUGGCCAUUGUCCACAACAAACUGGCCCAGCCACCGUCUAAUCCUGAUGCUGAUGUCAAAGGCUACGUACAUCAGAUACUCCAUCAGGAUCCUGGCCUGUUUGAGGGAGACGAAUAUGCUGCCCUCGUGACCGAGUGUAAAGAAGGGGGCCAGAAAGAGGGCCUGAUGCUGGACACGCAUGAAGAGCUGUACAACUGAUUCACGAGUCAGGUCAUCAGCCUGAACCCUGAGGACCUGAAGGACAGAGCUGCCACCUCUCCUGCCCUCUUCAACAGGUGUGUGCUGAACUGGUUUGGAGACUGGUCCACAGAAGCUCUUUACCAGGUCGGUAAGGAGUUCACCAGCAAGAUGGAUCUGGAGAAAGGAAGAAACCUCAGGCAGUUCCACCGGCCCCGGGUCCAGGAGGUGAUGGAAGAGUGGUAGUUGUCUGCCGACCGCCUGCAGGUGCCAACCGAUGGAUUCAAGCAGUGGGCUGCUUUGAGUAGGUGAGGGUGAAGAGGUGGAUUUUCAGUUGUUGUUUAAAGGUGUGGUUGGAUGGGGCCUCCCUGAUGUGCUGCGGUAGGGCGUUCCAACUUUUGGGUGCGUAGUGUGUGAAGGCUGCUUCUUGGGAUAGGGCCGAUCCCAUCCAGUAUCAGUAUCGGCAGCCGAGCCCAAUGUAGUUAGCGAAUCUGACCGAUCCGAUCUAACCUGCAAAAAAUUCCAAUCUGACGUCAUUUGAAGACUCCUGUUGGCUGAGGAGAGCAACACUGACAGCGAAAUAAAAACAAUGAAACGCACGCUCCUCCUGAACGCGCGAUACAGACAGACGAGGCCCCUUUUUUUAAUUAAUGCUCCAAUUAUUAAUGUAAUGUCUAACUUGUAAGAAAUGAUAUCAUGCUGAACUACAUGUUGAUUGACUGUCAAUGUAGCCAGCAAAGAAUUGAAUAAAAGCAGAUGCACUAUGUGUACAUCUGCUUGUAAGCUGUUUACGUUGCACUAAAUAAAAUUUUC
This is a long non-coding RNA of Cynoglossus semilaevis (tongue sole), 1722 nucleotides long. RefSeq lists it as uncharacterized. The record is from RefSeq and is a predicted model, not a curated record. NCBI's taxonomy places the organism in Eukaryota, Metazoa, Chordata, Actinopteri, Pleuronectiformes, Cynoglossidae. The transcript is spliced from 5 exons.